RNAcentral lists this ribosomal RNA (253 nucleotides) under uncultured bacterium. RNAcentral describes it as "partial 16S ribosomal RNA". It matches the Rfam family "Bacterial small subunit ribosomal RNA", at positions 524 to 776 of the family's 1533-position model. The record is from RNAcentral.
UACAUGGGGUGCAAACGUUGCUCGGAAUCAUUGGGCGUAAAGCGCACGUAGGCGGUUACUUAAGUCGGAUGUGAAAGCCCUCGGCUCAACUGAGGAAGUGCACCCGAAACUGAGUAGCUAGAGUACGAAAGAGGGUCGCGGAAUUCCCGGUGUAGAGGUGAAAUUCGUAGAUAUCGGGAGGAACACCGGUGGCGAAGGCGGCGACCUGGGUCGAGACUGACGCUGAGGUGCGAAAGCGUGGGGAGCAAACAGG